RNAcentral lists this ribosomal RNA (290 nucleotides) under uncultured bacterium. Its description in RNAcentral is "partial 16S ribosomal RNA". It matches the Rfam family "Bacterial small subunit ribosomal RNA", at positions 335 to 618 of the family's 1533-position model. The record is from RNAcentral.
ACCCUACGGGGGGCAGCAGUAGGGAAUCUUCCACAAUGGGCGCAAGCCUGAUGGAGCAACACCGCGUGAGUGAAGAAGGGUUUCGGCUCGUAAAGCUCUGUUGUUGGAGAAGAAUGUGCGCGAGAGUAACUGUUCACGCAGUGACGGUAUCCAACCAGAAAGUCACGGCUAACUACGUGCCAGCAGCCGCGGUAAUACGGAGGUGGCAAGCGUUAUCCGGAUUUAUUGGGCGUAAAGCGAGCGCAGGCGGUUGCUUUGGUCUGGUGUGGAAGACUUCGGCUUAACCGAAG